This 498-nucleotide unclassified non-coding RNA is filed under the name Hevea brasiliensis (rubber tree). The record is from RNAcentral. Lineage: Eukaryota; Viridiplantae; Streptophyta; Magnoliopsida; Malpighiales; Euphorbiaceae.
AACCCUUUUCUUCUUUUCCAACCUACAUAGCAAGAAAGCCUAAUUUAAAAACUUGGAGCCUUGUGGCCAAUUAGAAGUUAAUGUAUCAAAAAACUUCCAAAAGAAUGCAUCAAAAUCAAUUUCAAAACACAAAAAAUUUGAGCUUCUAAAAUAUUUCAAAACAUAUAAUGAUGUAAACUUUGAGAACAAUUGAGAAGUGCCAGAUGAGACUAAGGGUCCAAAUAAUAAGAAAGCAUUUUAGCCACAAAUAUUAACAAGGACAAAAGAGGACUGAACUUGUUGCUUCAAAAUUUUUAUCACUAGCAACAAAUGAGUUAUUAAGAAGGUACUUAAUGAUCAGUUUAAGCACAUUUAAGGUGAAAGUAUAUGCGCACAAUUUACCCCAUAAGUAUGCUUGUCUAUGCAUGUGCACAAGUUUUUUUCACAAUUCCAAAACAUAAACCAUUAGUCUAAAACCCAUGUUGUUGCAGGAAAGCAAAUCACCAUAGUACUGACAAU